ACAACGAACGUUUGACGGCGUGGAUUAGGCAUGCAAGUCGAACGAAGCUAGUCUAUGUAGCAAUACAUGGGCUAGACUGAGUGGCGAAAGGGGCAGUAAUGCGUGGAUAACCUACCCCGGGGAUGGGGAUAGCCAUUCUAACGAGUGGGUAAUACCCGGCGAUGCAGCGAGAUCGCAUGGUUUUGCUGUGAAACGAAUUUCGCCUCGGGAGGGGUUCACGUGCUAUUAGCUUGUUGGUGGGGUAACGGCCUACCAAGGCAAAGAUGGCUAGCGGGUGUGAGAGCACGACCCGCGCCACUGGCACUGAGACACUGGCCAGACUCCUACGGGAGGCUGCAGUCGAGGAUCUUCGGCAAUGGGCGCAAGCCUGACCGAGCGACGCCGCGUGCGCGAUGAAGGCCUUCGGGUUGUAAAGCGCUGUCGAGGGGGAGGAAGCCGAAAGGUUGACCUAUCCCUGGAGGAAGCACGGGCUAAGUUCGUGCCAGCAGCCGCGGUAAGACGAACCGUGCAAACGUUGUUCGGAAUCACUGGGCUUAAAGGGCGCGUAGGCGGGAGACCAAGUCCGGGGUGAAAUCUUUCGGCUCAACCGGAAAACUGCCUUGGAUACUGGUCUUCUUGAGGGAGGUAGGGGCAGGUGGAACUUCCGGUGGAGCGGUGAAAUGCGUUGAUAUCGGAAGGAACGCCGGUGGCGAAAGCGGCCUGCUGGAUCUCUUCUGACGCUGAGGCGCGAAAGCUAGGGGAGCGAACGGGAUUAGAUACCCCGGUAGUCCUAGCCCUAAACGAUGGGUACUAGGUUGCGGACUUGACAUGAGUUCGCAGCCGAAGCAAAAGUGUUAAGUACCCCGCCUGGGGAGUAUGGUCGCAAGGCUGAAACUCAAAGGAAUUGACGGGGGCUCACACAAGCGGUGGAGCAUGUGGCUUAAUUCGAGGCUACGCGAAGAACCUUAUCCUAGUCUUGACAUGCUUGGGAACCCUCUGGAAACAGAGGGGUGCCCUUCGGGGAGCCCUUGCACAGGUGCUGCAUGGCUGUCGUCAGCUCGUGUCGUGAGAUGUCGCGUUAAGUCGCUUAACGAGCGAAACCCUUGUCCUUAGUUGCCAGCGCGUAAUGGCGGGGACUCUAAGGAGACUGCCGGUGUUAAACCGGAGGAAGGUGGGGAUGACGUCAAGUCCUCAUGGCCUUUAUGAUUAGGGCUGCACACGUCCUACAAUGCCGCGUACAAAGGGAAGCAAGACCGCGAGGUGGAGCAAAUCCCAAAAAGCGCGGCCCAGUUCGGAUUGCAGGCUGCAACCCGCCUGCAUGAAGCCGGAAUCGCUAGUAAUCGCGGUCACAUACCGCGUGAUACUCCUAGCAUCCUCAC
This 1358-nucleotide ribosomal RNA is filed under the name uncultured bacterium. RNAcentral describes it as "bacterial SSU rRNA". It matches the Rfam family "Bacterial small subunit ribosomal RNA", at positions 26 to 1388 of the family's 1533-position model. The record is from RNAcentral.